Molecule: ribosomal RNA, 252 nt
Filed under: uncultured bacterium
Lineage: Bacteria
Description: partial 16S ribosomal RNA
Rfam family: Bacterial small subunit ribosomal RNA
Source: RNAcentral
UACGGGGGGGCAAGCGUUGUUCGGAAUUACUGGGCGUAAAGGGUUCGUAGGUGGCCAACUAAGUCAUACGUGAAAUCCCUCAGCUUAACUGGGGAACUGCGUCUGAUACUGGUUGGCUUGAGUUUGGGAGAGGGAUGCGGAAUUCCAGGUGUAGCGGUGAAAUGCGUAGAUAUCUGGAGGAACACCGGUGGCGAAGGCGGCAUCCUGGACCAACACUGACGCUGAGGAGCGAAAGCCAGGGGAGCAAACGGG